AGGUUUCCGUAGGUGAACCUGCGGAAGGAUCAUUGCCGGU
Molecule: ribosomal RNA, 40 nt
Filed under: Daniellia alsteeniana
Lineage: Eukaryota; Viridiplantae; Streptophyta; Magnoliopsida; Fabales; Fabaceae
Description: partial 18S ribosomal RNA
Source: RNAcentral